RNAcentral lists this transfer RNA (73 nucleotides) under Podarcis lilfordi (Lilford's wall lizard). RNAcentral's name for it is "tRNA.Lys". The stretch from base 8 to 65 matches the Rfam family "tRNA", at positions 8 to 63 of the family's 71-position model. From Rfam's summary of the family: Transfer RNA (tRNA) molecules are approximately 80 nucleotides in length. The record is from RNAcentral. Lineage: Eukaryota; Metazoa; Chordata; Lepidosauria; Squamata; Lacertidae.
AUCUGGAUGGUUCAGUCGGUAGAGCAUGAGACUCUUAAUUCCAGGGUUGUGGGUUUGAGCCCCACGUUGAGUG